CACAGNUUGUCGCUGGCCUUUCAACGGGGGCAUGUGCACGCUCUGUUUACACAUCCACUCACACCUGUUGCACCCUCUGUAGUUCUACGGUUUGGAAGGCCCUGCCUUCCUUCCGUCGCUCUACGUCUUUCACACACACCGGUAGUGAGGUUUUAUGGAACGUUUUUCUGCGUUUAACGCAAUACAAUACAACUUUCAGCAACGGAUCUCUUGGCUCUCGCAUCGAUGAAGAACGCAGCGAAAUGCGAUAAGUAAUGUGAAUUGCAGAAUUCAGUGAAUCAUCGAAUCUUUGAACGCACCUUGCGCCCCUUGGUUAUUCCUCGGGGCAUGCCUGUUUGAGUAUCUUGAACACCUCAACUCUCAUGGUCUUCCAUGACGAGCUUGGACUUUGGGGGUUUGCUGGCCUUGCGACCGGCUCCUCUCAAAUGAAUCAGCUUGCCAGUGUUUGGUGGCGUCACGGGUGUGAUAAAUAUCUACGCUUGUGGCCGUCUGCCAGAUAACCCUCAGCAAUGAAGGUUCAUUGGGGCUCACAAACGUCUCUCCUUGUGGAGACAACUUUUGAACGUUCGAUCUCAAAUCAGGUAGGACUACCCGCUGAACUUAAGCAUAUCAAUAAGCGGAGGAAAAGAAACUAACAAGGAUUCCCCUAGUAACUGCGAGUGAAGCGGGAAGAGCUCAAAUUUAAAAUCUGGCGUGCCUCUGGUCGUCCGAAUUGUAGUCUGGAGAAGCGUUUUCCGUGUUGGACCGUGUAUAAAGUCUCUUGGAACAGGGCGUCAUAGAGGGUGAGAA
Molecule: ribosomal RNA, 789 nt
Filed under: uncultured Tomentella
Lineage: Eukaryota; Fungi; Basidiomycota; Agaricomycetes; Thelephorales; Thelephoraceae
Description: eukaryotic LSU rRNA
Rfam family: Eukaryotic large subunit ribosomal RNA (bases 568-789)
Source: RNAcentral